GAUGAACGCUGGCGGCGUGCCUAAUACAUGCAAGUCGAGCGAACGGACGAGAAGCUUGCUUUUCUGAUGUUAGCGGCGGACGGGUGAGUAACACGUGGAUAACCUACCUAUAAGACUGGGAUAACUUCGGGAAACCGGAGCUAAUACCGGAUAAUAUUUUGAACCGCAUGGUUCAAACGUGAAAGACGGUCUUUCUGUCACUUAUAGAUGGAUCCGCGCUGCAUUAGCUAGUUGGUAAGGUAACGGCUUACCAAGGCAACGAUGCAUAGCCGACCUGAGAGGGUGAUCGGCCACACUGGAACUGAGACACGGUCCAGACUCCUACGGGAGGCAGCAGUAGGGAAUCUUCCGCAAUGGGCGAAAGCCUGACGGAGCAACGCCGCGUGAGUGAUGAAGGUCUUCGGAUCGUAAAACUCUGUUAUUAGGGAAGAACAUAUGUGUAAGUAACUGUGCACAUCUUGACGGUACCUAAUCAGAAAGCCACGGCUAACUACGUG
Molecule: ribosomal RNA, 497 nt
Filed under: uncultured bacterium
Lineage: Bacteria
Description: partial 16S ribosomal RNA
Rfam family: Bacterial small subunit ribosomal RNA
Source: RNAcentral